Molecule: ribosomal RNA, 1479 nt
Filed under: Lacticaseibacillus paracasei
Lineage: Bacteria; Bacillati; Bacillota; Bacilli; Lactobacillales; Lactobacillaceae
Description: bacterial SSU rRNA
Rfam family: Bacterial small subunit ribosomal RNA
Source: RNAcentral
GCUUCCUACCCAUAGUGAAGUUUUCCUUUGUAGCUGGGGUCCACAGGAAUUCAACAUGGAACGAGUGGCGGACGGGUGAGUAAACGUGUGGUACCUCCCCUCUUAAUGGGGGAUAACAUUGGAAACGGGUUUUAAUCCCGUUAGAUCCAAGACCCGGCUUGUUUCUUGGCUGAAAGGUGGAUAAAUCUAUCUCUUUUGGAUGGACCCGCGGUUUAUUAGCUAGUUGGUGAGGUAAUGCCUCACCAAGGCGAUGAUACGUAGCCGAACUGAGAGGUUGAUCGGCCACAUUGGGACUGAGACACGGCCCAAAUUCCUACGGGAGGCAGCAGUAGGGAAUCUUCCACAAUGGACGCAAGUCUGAUGGAGCAACGCCGCGUGAAUGAAGAAGGCUUUCGGGUCGUAAAAUUCUGUUGUUGGAGAAGAAUGGUCGGCAGAGUAACUGUUGUCGGCGUGACGGUAUCCAACCAGAAAGCCACGGCUAACUACGUGCCAGCAGCCGCGGUAAUACGUAGGUGGCAAGCGUUAUCCGGAUUUAUUGGGCGUAAAGCGAGCGCAGGCGGUUUUUUAAGUCUGAUGUGAAAGCCCUCGGCUUAACCGAGGAAGCGCAUCGGAAACUGGGAAACUUGAGUGCAGAAGAGGACAGUGGAACUCCAUGUGUAGCGGUGAAAUGCGUAGAUAUAUGGAAGAACACCAGUGGCGAAGGCGGCUGUCUGGUCUGUAACUGACGCUGAGGCUCGAAAGCAUGGGUAGCGAACAGGAUUAGAUACCCUGGUAGUCCAUGCCGUAAACGAUGAAUGCUAGGUGUUGGAGGGUUUCCGCCCUUCAGUGCCGCAGCUAACGCAUUAAGCAUUCCGCCUGGGGAGUACGACCGCAAGGUUGAAACUCAAAGGAAUUGACGGGGGCCCGCACAAGCGGUGGAGCAUGUGGUUUAAUUCGAAGCAACGCGAAGAACCUUACCAGGUCUUGACAUCUUUUGAUCACCUGAGAGAUCAGGUUUCCCCUUCGGGGGCAAAAUGACAGGUGGUGCAUGGUUGUCGUCAGCUCGUGUCGUGAGAUGUUGGGUUAAGUCCCGCAACGAGCGCAACCCUUAUGACUAGUUGCCAGCAUUUAGUUGGGCACUCUAGUAAGACUGCCGGUGACAAACCGGAGGAAGGUGGGGAUGACGUCAAAUCAUCAUGCCCCUUAUGACCUGGGCUACACACGUGCUACAAUGGAUGGUACAACGAGUUGCGAGACCGCGAGGUCAAGCUAAUCUCUUAAAGCCAUUCUCAGUUCGGACUGUAGGCUGCAACUCGCCUACACGAAGUCGGAAUCGCUAGUAAUCGCGGAUCAGCACGCCGCGGUGAAUACGUUCCCGGGCCUUGUACACACCGCCCGUCACACCAUGAGAGUUUGUAACACCCGAAGCCGGUGGCGUAACCCUUUUAGGGAGCGAGCCGUCUAAGGUGGGACAAAUGAUUAGGGUGAAGUCGUAACAAG